GGGUCGUUAGCUCAGUUGGUAGAGCACCGGACUUUUAAUCCGUUGGUCGCGCGUUCGAGCCGCGCACGACCCACCA
RNAcentral lists this transfer RNA (76 nucleotides) under Allopusillimonas ginsengisoli. RNAcentral describes it as "Pusillimonas ginsengisoli tRNA-Lys". It matches the Rfam family "tRNA". Rfam says of the family: Transfer RNA (tRNA) molecules are approximately 80 nucleotides in length. Their secondary structure includes four short double-helical elements and three loops (D, anti-codon, and T loops). Further hydrogen bonds mediate the characteristic L-shaped molecular structure. tRNAs have two regions of fundamental functional importance: the anti-codon, which is responsible for specific mRNA codon recognition, and the 3' end, to which the tRNAs corresponding amino acid is attached (by aminoacyl-tRNA synthetases). tRNAs cope with the degeneracy of the genetic code in two manners: having more than one tRNA (with a specific anti-codon) for a particular amino acid; and 'wobble' base-pairing, i.e. permitting non-standard base-pairing at the 3rd anti-codon position. RNAcentral also lists the same sequence under 29 other names. Lineage: Bacteria; Pseudomonadati; Pseudomonadota; Betaproteobacteria; Burkholderiales; Alcaligenaceae. The record is from RNAcentral.